RNAcentral lists this transfer RNA (73 nucleotides) under Camelus bactrianus (Bactrian camel). It matches the Rfam family "tRNA". From Rfam's summary of the family: Transfer RNA (tRNA) molecules are approximately 80 nucleotides in length. Their secondary structure includes four short double-helical elements and three loops (D, anti-codon, and T loops). Lineage: Eukaryota; Metazoa; Chordata; Mammalia; Artiodactyla; Camelidae. RNAcentral also lists the same sequence under 2 other names. The record is from Rfam by way of RNAcentral.
GAGGGUAUAUCUCAAGCGGUAGAGCACAUGCUUAGCAUACAUGAGGUCCUGGGUUCAAUCCCCAGGACCUCCU